This 490-nucleotide ribosomal RNA is filed under the name uncultured bacterium. Its description in RNAcentral is "partial 16S ribosomal RNA". It matches the Rfam family "Bacterial small subunit ribosomal RNA", at positions 30 to 507 of the family's 1533-position model. The record is from RNAcentral.
AUUGAACGCUGGCGGCAGGCCUAACACAUGCAAGUCGAACGGUAACAGGAAGCAGCUUGCUGCUUUGCUGACGAGUGGCGGACGGGUGAGUUAUGUCUGGGAAACUGCCCGAUGGAGGGGGAUAACUACUGGAAACGGUAGCUAAUACCGCAUAACGUCGCAAGACCAAAGAGGGGGACCUUAGGGCCUCUUGCCAUCGGAUGUGCCCAGAUGGGAUUAGCUAGUAGGUGGGGUAACGGCUCACCUAGGCGACGAUCCCUAGCUGGUCUGAGAGGAUGACCAGCCACACUGGAACUGAGACACGGUCCAGACUCCUACGGGAGGCAGCAGUGGGGAAUAUUGCACAAUGGGCGCAAGCCUGAUGCAGCCAUGCCGCAUGUAUGAAGAAGGCCUUCGGGUUGUAAAGUACUUUCAGCGGGGAGGAAGGGAGUAAAGUUAAUACCUUUGCUCAUUGACGUUACCCGCAGAAGAAGCACCGGCUAACUCCGUG